This 788-nucleotide ribosomal RNA is filed under the name uncultured bacterium. RNAcentral's name for it is "bacterial SSU rRNA". It matches the Rfam family "Bacterial small subunit ribosomal RNA", at positions 8 to 796 of the family's 1533-position model. The record is from RNAcentral.
AGAGUUUGAUCCUGGCUCAGAAUGAACGUUGGCGGCGUGGAUUAGGCAUGCAAGUCGAGCGAGAACCCGCAAGGGGGACAGCGGCAAACGGGGUAGUAACGGGUAGGCGACGUACCCUUCGGUCGGGGAUAGCCACGGGAAACUGUGGGUAAUACCCGAUAAUCUCCGGGAGCGUGAUAGCUUCCAGAGCAAAGGUGAGAUUCCACCGGAGGAGCGGCCUGCUUCGUAUUAGCUGGUUGGUGAGGUAACGGCUCACCAAGGCGACGAUGCGUAGGGGGUGUGAGAGCAUGACCCCCACCACUGGGACUGAGAUACUGCCCAGACACCUACGGGUGGCUGCAGUCGAGAAUCUUCGGCAAUGGGCGCAAGCCUGACCGAGCGACGCCGCGUGUGGGAUGAAGGCCCUUGGGUUGUAAACCACUGUCAGAGGGGAUGAAGUGCCGGAGGGCAAUCUCUCCGGUUUGACAUAGCCUCAGAGGAAGCACGGGCUAAGUUCGUGCCAGCAGCCGCGGUAAUACGAACUGUGCAAACGUUAUUCGGAAUCACUGGGCUUACAGGGUGCGUAGGCGGCUUGUCAAGUAGGGUGUGAAAGCCCCCGGCUCAACCGGGGAAUUGCGCCCUAAACUGGCGAGCUGGAGUGAGAUAGGGGUGUGUGGAACUUCCGGUGGAGCGGUGAAAUGUGUUGAUAUCGGAAGGAACGCCGGUGGCGAAAGCGACACACUGGAUCUUGUCUGACGCUGAGGCACGAAAGCCAGGGGAGCGAACGGGAUUAGAUACCCUAGUAGUCC